Non-coding RNA from Ascaris suum (pig roundworm), 2524 nucleotides. NCBI's taxonomy places the organism in Eukaryota, Metazoa, Nematoda, Chromadorea, Rhabditida, Ascarididae. The record is from Rfam.
UGACCUCAGCUCAGUCGUGAAUACCCGCUGAAUUUAAGCAUAUAACUAAGCGGAGGAAAAGAAACUAACGAGGAUUCCCUUAGUAACUGCGAGUGAAAGGGGAAAAGCCCAGCGCUGAAUCCUUCAGCCACUGGCUGCUAGGAAUUGUAGCGUAUAGGUGCGACUGUCCGUUCGUUUCGUGCACCCAAAGUCCCCUUGAGCGGGGCUAUAGUCCAAAGAAGGUGCUAGACCUGUACGGGUGGCGAAGCGAACGGUUGGUUGCUCCUUGGAGUCGGGUUGCCUGGGAUCGCAGCCCAAAGUUGGUGGUAGACCUCAUCUAAGGCUAAAUAUGGCCACGAAACCGAUAGCAAACAAGUACCGUGAGGGAAAGUUGCAAAGAACUUUGAAGAGAGAGUUCAAGAGGGCGUGAAACCGUUGAGAUUGAAACGGAUAGAGUUAACGAAACUCGGCUGCAUUCAUCCGAUCGGCCUAAUGGAUCAAUAGCGUUCGCAUCCUCGAUGAGGGCAACGUUAUCGUUAACUAUUGGGUAAUUGAUCGGUGUAUUUGCGGCUGGUAUGCGCUGAGAGUUUUGUGAUCGCAUGUUAACGGGUGUGCAGUGGACCAUUCCUUCCGGGUGUGGAAACCUUCACAUCUUUAGGCAUGUCGAUUAUAAAGUUUUGAACGUGGCGUCUCCGCUAUUGUGCGUCGACUUAUGCGUACUAUUGUGAUUAUUGAAUAUUCGCAUGCGAAUAUUUGUAGUUAACGAUAUUGCGACAAAAGUGCGGACGCGUUGAGACGUGUAUCUCGGUGUGAACGUUGACCACCUAUCCGACCCGUCUUGAAACACGGACCAAGGAGUCUAGCAUAUGCGCGAGUCAUUGGGUGGUAAACCUAAGGGCGUAAUGAAAGUAAAAGUCACCUCGAUGUGGCCGAUAUGGGAUCCGGAUAACUUACGAGCCAUUCGGCGCACCAUAGCCCCGUCCCCAUUGCUUGCAAUAGGGCGGAGGUAGAGCGCAUAUGCUGGGACCCGAAAGAUGGUGAACUAUGCCUGAGCAGGAUGAAGCCAGAGGAAACUCUGGUGGAAGUCCGAAGCGGUUCUGACGUGCAAAUCGAUCGUCUGACUUGGGUAUAGGGGCGAAAGACUAAUCGAACCAUCUAGUAGCUGGUUCCCUCUGAAGUUUCCCCCAGGAUAGCUGGAGUUCGUAUGGUGCAGUUAUAUUCGGUAAAGCGAAUGAUUAGAGGAAUUGGGGACGAAACGACCUCAACCUAUUCUCAAACUUUCAAUGGGUAUGAAGUCCCGCUUGCUUGACAUUAAUGAAGCGUGGACAUUGAAUGUGAGCUCCAAGUGGGCCAUUUUUGGUAAGCAGAACUGGCGCUGUGGGAUGAACCAAACGUCGGGUUAAAGUGCCAAACUUCCCGCUCAUGAGACCCCAUGAAAGGCGUUGGUUGAUAUAGACAGCAGGACGGUGGCCAUGGAAGUCGGAAACCGCUAAGGAGUGUGUAACAACUCACCUGCCGAAUCAACUAGCCCUGAAAAUGGAUGGCGCUUGAGCGGGAGACUUAUACCCGACCGUUGCUUGGCUUGUGUGUUUCUCCUCAUAUGAGAGAUUCGCCUGGCCGCAACGAGUAAGAGGGUCGCAGUGGUUUGCGUUGAAGGCUUUGGGCGUAGGCCCGGCUGGAGCUUCCACUGGUGCAGAUCUUGGUGGUAGUAGCAAAUAUUCAAGUGAGAUCCUUGAAGACUGAAGUGGAGAAGGGUUCCACGUGAACAGCAGUUGAAUGUGGGUCAGUCGGCCCUAAGAUACUGGCUAAUGCCAUGUGUUAUCGAGAGAUGGAGUUCAAAUCUGUCUCGUUUAUCGAAAGGGAAACGGGUUAAUAUUCCCGUACCUGGACACGGAGAUAAGCGCUCAUUGCGAGUGUUUAGCGCGGUAACGCAAACGAACUCGGUAACGUUGAAUAGAGCCCGAGCUAGAGUUCUCUUUUCUAGUUAAGGAACGAAUUCCCUGGAAUCGGUUCAGCCGGAGAUAGGGAUGUUGUUUCCGUAAAGCGCCACGGUUCCUGUGGUGUCUCGUGCGCUCUAUUCGGCCCUUGAAAAACCGAGGGAGGCUAUUUGAAUUUCGUGCCAGGCCGUACCGAUAUCCGCAGCAGGUCUCCAAGGUGAACAGCCUCUAGUCGAUAGAAUAAUGUAGGUAAGGGAAGUCGGCAAAUUAGAUCCGUAACUUCGGGAAAAGGAUUGGCUCUAAGGACUGGGCCGGUCGGGCUGCAGUGUGAAGUGAGCUCGGUUUGAUCCAUGCAGUGCAACGCUCGGAAACGGGUGGCGCUCGGCUAGCGUUCGAACUGUCUUGUGGACCGCUGCAGCUGUGUGCCGCGUCAAUAAUGGCGUUGGUGCUUCGGCGGGCGCUAAACAGUCGACUUAGAACUGGCACGGACUCGGGGAAUCCGACUGUCUAAUUAAAACAGAGGAGACAGAUGGCCCUUGCGAGCGUUGACUGUCUCUGAUUUCUGCCCAGUGCUCUGAAUGUAAAAGUGAAGAAAUUCAACCAAGCGC